This 658-nucleotide ribosomal RNA is filed under the name uncultured Acidobacteriota bacterium. RNAcentral's name for it is "SSU rRNA". It matches the Rfam family "Bacterial small subunit ribosomal RNA", at positions 242 to 917 of the family's 1533-position model. Lineage: Bacteria; Pseudomonadati; Acidobacteriota. The record is from RNAcentral.
CAGCUAGUUGGUGAGGUAACGGCCCACCAAGGCUAAGAUCGGUAGCCGGCCUGAGAGGGCACACGGCCACACUGGCACUGAAACACGGGCCAGACUCCUACGGGAGGCAGCAGUGGGGAAUCUUGCACAAUGGGGGCAACCCUGAUGCAGCGACGCCGCGUGGGCGAUGAAGCCCUUCGGGGUGUAAAGCUCUUUCGGCAGGGAAGAAUCAUGACGGUACCUGCAGAAGCAGCUGCGGCUAACUACGUGCCAGCAGCCGCGGUAAUACGUAGGCAGCGAGCGUUGUUCGGAGUUACUGGGCGUAAAGGGUGUGUAGGCGGUCCUCUAAGUUUGGUGUGAAAUCUCCCGGCUCAACCGGGAGGGUGCGCCGAAAACUGGGGGACUAGAGUGCGGGAUGGGAAAGUGGAAUUCCUGGUGUAGCGGUGAAAUGCGUAGAUAUCAGGAGGAACACCGGUGGUGUAGACGGCUUUCUGGACCGUAACUGACGCUGAGACACGAAAGCGUGGGUAGCAAACAGGAUUAGAUACCCUGGUAGUCCACGCCCUAAACGAUGCAUAUUUGGUGUAGGUCAUUCAGUUGAUCUGUGCCGGAGCUAACGCGUUAAAUAUGCCGCCUGGGGAGUACAGUCGCAAGGCUGAAACUCAAAGGAAUUGACGGA